This 405-nucleotide ribosomal RNA is filed under the name uncultured bacterium. Its description in RNAcentral is "partial 16S ribosomal RNA". It matches the Rfam family "Bacterial small subunit ribosomal RNA", at positions 29 to 526 of the family's 1533-position model. The record is from RNAcentral.
AUUGAACGCUGGCGGCAGGCCUAACACAUGCAAGUCGAACGAGUGGCGGACGGGUGAGUAAUGUCUGGGAAACUGCCUGAUGGAGGGGGAUAACUACUGGAAACGGUAGCUAAUACCGCAUACAAUCGGAUGUGCCAAGAUGGGAUUGGCUAGUAGGGGGGGAAAGGGCUCACCUAGGCGACGUGCCCUAGCUGGUCUGAGGGGAUGACCCGCCAAACUGGAAUGGAGACACGGUCCAACCCCCGACGGGAGGCAGAAGUGGGGAAUAUUGCACAAUGGGCGAAAGCUGGAUGCAGCCAUGCCGCGGGUAUGAAGAGGCCUUCGGGUUGUAAAGUACUUUCAGCGGGGAGGCGUUACCCGCAGAAGAAGCACCGGCUAACUCCGUGCCAGCAGCCGCGGUAAUAC